Puntigrus tetrazona (Sumatra barb) is the source of this 927-nucleotide long non-coding RNA. RefSeq lists it as uncharacterized. NCBI's taxonomy places the organism in Eukaryota, Metazoa, Chordata, Actinopteri, Cypriniformes, Cyprinidae. The transcript is spliced from 4 exons. The record is from RefSeq and is a predicted model, not a curated record.
GGGCUGUGAAUGUAAGUGGAAGAAGGUGAUGCAUCAAAGCUUGAUGUAGGUCAUCGGUAAACAUGAAAAAUUAAAAAGUUUAAUUGUGACCCCUAUUGCCUGCAGUUGUACACUUUUUUGCUGCAUAAGGCAUUUGUUACGUGUUCGCGUUGUGUUUUUUUUCCCUCUCUCUGUUCUCCGCCCUUUAAACUCUUAGUCACCGGUCAUUGGUUCCCGUCACCCAUCAAUCAUCAUCAGCGCUGACGUCACACCUUCUGCAGUCUCCAAUCAUCCCAAACCACCUCAAAUAAAAGAGCCCGCCAGACCACCCACAAGCCCUUUGUUUUGCUGUUUGUUCGCUACUUGUUUGGAUCACUGAUUAUCAUUGUAUAUUGCGUCGUUUGAUGUUCGUUACUGUGUAUUGUUUUCCCGUUCCCUUUUCCACUCAUAUUGUUAGUUAUCAUUCGUUGUGUGUUAUGAGGCCGCGGAGAAGUGGACAGGUUUAUUACGAGUUCAACCGAGUGGUGGGGAAAAAAAUCUCAGAACUUCCUUGACGCUCUGGACCAUCACUCUUCAAAUCUGAUGGACAUCUUCAGAAAGAAAGGCCAGUCAAAUUUUGGCUGAGCUUUUACGUCAGACAAAGACGACCGAGCCAACAGAUGUUAGGUCCCUUUGCCUUCAUGGACUGCCAGUCAUAUUGGGUGAUGACCCAUCUGCCUUCAAGACCUGCUCUGAUGUGACUGACAAGGACUCAUACAACCAAAUACCAGUAGGAAUCCUCUGCGCUGAUGAAGAAAGUCCACAGUUAAACCCUUCCAGAGUGUGCACCAUCUUGGAAGGUAAUUCAGUGAUGGAACCAGACAACCUGCUUCAGGCCUUCUGUCUUUUUGGACUGACAUAUGUUUGUUCUUAUGGGUGGGGAUGUUUACGUGUUCGCGUUGUAGUGUU